RNAcentral lists this ribosomal RNA (420 nucleotides) under uncultured bacterium. RNAcentral describes it as "bacterial SSU rRNA". It matches the Rfam family "Bacterial small subunit ribosomal RNA", at positions 359 to 776 of the family's 1533-position model. The record is from RNAcentral.
GAAUAUUGGACAAUGGGCGAGAGCCUGAUCCAACCAUGCCGCGUGCAGGAAGACGGCCCUAUGGGUUGUAAACUGCUUUUAUACGGGAAGAAACACUCUGACGUGUCAGAGCUUGACGGUACCGUAAGAAUAAGGAUCGGCUAACUCCGUGCCAGCACCCGCGGUAAUACGGAGGAUCCAAGCGUUAUCCGGAAUCAUUGGGUUUAAAGGGUCCGUAGGCGGGACAACAAGUCAGCGGUGAAAGUCUGUGGCUCAACCAUAGAAUUGCCAUUGAUACUGUUGUUCUUGAGUGUUUAUGAAGUGGUUGGAAUAUGUAGUGUAGCGGUGAAAUGCAUAGAUAUUACAUAGAACACCGAUUGCGAAGGCAGAUCACUAAUAAAAUACUGACGCUGAUGGACGAAAGCGUAGGUAGCGAACAGG